This is a long non-coding RNA of Gymnogyps californianus (California condor), 3610 nucleotides long. RefSeq lists it as uncharacterized. The transcript is spliced from 5 exons. The record is from RefSeq and is a predicted model, not a curated record. NCBI's taxonomy places the organism in Eukaryota, Metazoa, Chordata, Aves, Accipitriformes, Cathartidae.
CAUUACUAAUAAAGUGGGACAAAAUAUUUCUGAUGAAGUGUAAGAAGAAUUAUGUUUUUCUAUGCAACUCAGACAAGCUGGAGGAUGGACCGACACAGGUACCAGUUCCGGACUAUUAGCACUGAAGAUAUGAAAUGCUAGAGAUACCAGAAGUUUUAUCAGAUGAAGAAUGACCUGAGUGCCACCAUUACUGAAGUCUAGGAAAAGCAAACAAGUUACAUUAGAGACUGCUACGAUAUGGGAAUACAGAGUUGAAAUUGCAGAUGAACAUAAGGAGGAAUUACGAACUCUUCAUCUUGCUCAAAAAAGCUUCAGUCCAGAAAAAUCCAAACAGAAAUGCACUUGCGGUAAUUCGAUGUGCUGAAUGAGUUUGGAGAACUCACGCAAGGACACUUCAUUUGCAGAAUCUGCUCAUCUGCCAAGUGUCGCACCCUCAGCCUUUUAGAAAAAUUCUGCCCUAAAGAAAACUUGUCGUGAAAUUUCAGUUCGUCUUUGAUACAACUAGAAAGAUCCCAAUCCAUGUGAAGGGUAGCACCGGACUUACCUGCACUUUGUAGCAGUUCCUGAUGUGCUCCUGCUUUUUCCUCCGCCACACCAACCCCAGUUUGCUCGGCUGGUAAGCCGCCGUGGUUACUACUAUUAGUGCUUGGUGCUGCAGGUGCGGAGUCUGGGACUGCGGGAGCGGUUACAACCGACAGUACGCUGGUAGGAGGAGUGCUUGUUGAUACGCUUGGAGACGCGGAGGCAGGAGCAGCAGCUGCAGUGCUGACACUCGAACUGCCAGGCCCAGAAGUGCUCUGUUUUGUAAGACUGGGUGCUGGAGGUGUCACAGUUUUAUUAUCUAGUUCUGCUGGUGAUUGCUCUGUUCCCAAACUAUUUGGGACCGACGUUUCUAGUCCCUGACCUUCUGCUUCUCCAUCCAAAGCAUAUUGCUCUUCCCCUUUCUCAAGGGAGCCAGUGACUUUCUUGCACGCUUUAGUCAGCAAGAGUUGGCCAAUCUUGUCUACUUUUCCCUUUCCCUUACUCGAUGAAACAGGACUGCGUCUGUUCCCAGAUCCUGGACUACUCGUAAGAAGAGGUGAAACAACAGGUCCAGACUGCGUUGCUGUAACAGAGCACUGGUCACUCGACCCACCACUUUGAGAAGCAGUCUCCUCUGGGCUGAAGUCUUUGACUUGCUGAGCAGGAAGAUGUGAAGGAACACCGGAAGAAGUUGUAGCGGGAGAAGACAGCUGAAUGGGAGGUGCCAAGGGAUUAAGAACCAGUGGCCUGCUGGUGGGAAUACUAGAAACAGGACUGCUGGAUGACGUGCUGGGAGGAGCGGGCCCGGAGGAGAACUUUAUAUUCUGUGGUAUAUGCAAAGGACCAACGACCGCGACCGACUGAGGCAUUAGACUAGAGUUAGAAGUCAUUGGCGCUGCUGGAAUUGUACUUGAUUGAGAGCCCUUCAUAACCUGAAUUAUUGACGAUGAGUUUAUAAAAACAGGUGUAAUAAACUGUGGCCGGGCGUUAGACUGAACUGCUGACUGUCCCUCAGAAACCAUAACUUUGUUCCCUACGUUGGGCAUUGUGACAACAGUCGACACUAAUGCAGGUUGCAAGUGAGAUGGCAACGGUGCUGAUGUAUUAGCAGAAGACGUAAUAGGGUUUGAAGUUACAAAAACUGUUAUCUGGUUGGGGGGUAAAGGACCUGAAAUAGAAGAAGAGCUGACAGGCCUUUGCAUUACUGGAGGAACACUCUGUGCAACGUUUGAGUUUAUUUCUCCCAGUUCCUGGUGCCCUGGAUUUGAACAGGGCUCAUUAUUUUGAGGCAAGCUAAGUGAACUAGAUGGCUCCUUGCUCGAGGAUGAAUCUUGCAGUGGAGGAAUGACAGCUAUCUUCUUUAGCUCCUCACCAGUGGUGACUAUUGGUGCCAUUUCAAGACCAGUCAGCCCAGGGGGCUUAAUGGUUACGUUAGGAGCUCCAGAAUUAUCAAGAAGUUGACUUAAAGAAGUUGGUGCCUCCCUCAUAGCUGGAGAUACCAUGGUUUUACUUUCCUCCAAGACUGGAAGCUUACUGGUGUCUAAGGCUUGCCCGUCUUUUUUCGGCUGUUCUUCUGGAACCAACAUUUUCAUUUCUGGAGUAGGGAUACCUUUCAGUUCAAUACUGGGCUGGUCUUUGUUACCUUGGACACCUUGUGCACUUUGACACUCGUUACCUUGAGGCACACUAAGACUCUCUUUAUUGUCUUCAGGAAUGCCAGUCAUAGCAGGUACAGAAAUCGUGGGAUUCUGAUUACUUAGCAUGUUAUUAUUUUGAAAACUUGUAGUCACAGGUGUUGGCAAAGAAGAGGGACCAGCCAUCAUAUUUCUUUGUAAUUCCAUGUUCUGCAAGAGAGAUGGAUUCUGCUGAGUUGUCAAUGAUAAUUUAGCUGCUUUUGAAUUCUGCCUGCCAGGGCUUGGUGUAGUUUUCCUACUGGAUCCAGGACUGGACCUUCGACUAUUGCUUGGACUUGCUCUCUUUGUUCCUCCAGCAUUGGUUUGUUUUCCUGAAUUAAUGACCACGCCUUCCAAUUUGUGUGACUGUGGAGCAGCAAAACUAGACUGAUUGUUAAUUGUGAGAUUUGAUGGGGCUUGUCCAAUGGCCUUCAAAGUCGUGGGAUUAAGACCCUGCUGAUCAAAUCCUCUAUUGAGAUUAGGCCUGGGAGGUAAAGGAAUAUUAAUUUGGGGAGGGAACAGACCAGCUAUAGAAGCAUUGAGUCUCUCUGGAGACAAGCUAAUUUCUGAUGGUUCUGUGCUAGGUGGACGGUUAUUAGGAGUCUGAGGAUAGUAUGGCCUUGGGCUUGCUCUGUUUGGGGUUUUAGGCCUUGAAGUUUGUGAUGGGGUGGCAACAUUUGGAAAAUGGUGUGUAAGAGCGCUAGGCAGAGAAUUAGACUGCUGCUGGGGACUUGCACCUUGGGCAGUUGAAAGUGGGGAUGGUCCAGGUUUGGGUCCCGUCAUCAUUAAUUGGUUCUGUGAAACUACUAAAUGAGAUGUCAAAUUAUUCUGAGCUCCUGAUGCUGGGGGGCCUUCAGCUCCACCUCCUUCUGGAAGGGAGGAUACUGAUGAAACCUCUCCAAGGGGCGAGCUGGAAGGAUUCUGUACAUUAUCUUGAUAAACCAUUUUUCUUGCAUUAUUUCCCAGAGGAGGAUUGCCUGGCAGGGAAAUUCUUUGUUUAUCAGGAGACGGAGGCACUGAUCCAGGACCUUGGAGGUUAACCAUUACCGGCAUGUUACCACUCUGCUGCAUCGGCAUUCGUUGAGCAUCUGGAUUCAGAGGCCCUCUAGGCAUCGACGACUGAUCGCUCUCCUCGAGGCCAGCUGGACGUGGUUCUGAAGAACUGAAAGAAAAAUAACUGCAAUUAAGAUCCAGCCCUCACAUCAGUGUUUCACUUCUGCUACCAUAACUAAGUACUCAAGUAAUUAAUUCCUAACACUUUCACAGACCUGCAAGUAACUCACCAAAAUGCACCACUACCUCUGGUGUAACACGACAAACUUGAAUGCAGAGUCCAGGUCUGCUGACAGUCACUCCUGUGCCUUAAAAUACUACCGAAAAGGAAACAAGUUGCCUGGUGCUCUAUUGAUCUUCAA